GUCCACGCCGUAAACGAUGGGCACUAGGUGUCGGGGGUAUCCACUCCCUCGGUGCCGCCGCUAACGCAUUAAGUGUCCCGCCUGGGAAGUACGGUCGCAAGAUUAAAAACUCAAAGGAAUUGACGGGGGCCCGCACAAGCGGUGGAGCAUGUGGUUCAAUUCGAUGCAACGCGAAGAACCUUACCUGGGUUUGACAUCUGGUGAAGGCUCGUGAAAGCGAGCCGUGCCCGCAAGGGAGCGCCAAGACAGGUGCUGCAUGGCUGUCGU
Molecule: ribosomal RNA, 267 nt
Filed under: uncultured bacterium
Lineage: Bacteria
Description: partial 16S ribosomal RNA
Rfam family: Bacterial small subunit ribosomal RNA
Source: RNAcentral